Molecule: transfer RNA, 72 nt
Filed under: Bos taurus (domestic cattle)
Lineage: Eukaryota; Metazoa; Chordata; Mammalia; Artiodactyla; Bovidae
Also listed under: 2 other names
Rfam family: tRNA
About the family: Transfer RNA (tRNA) molecules are approximately 80 nucleotides in length. Their secondary structure includes four short double-helical elements and three loops (D, anti-codon, and T loops). Further hydrogen bonds mediate the characteristic L-shaped molecular structure. tRNAs have two regions of fundamental functional importance: the anti-codon, which is responsible for specific mRNA codon recognition, and the 3' end, to which the tRNAs corresponding amino acid is attached (by aminoacyl-tRNA synthetases). tRNAs cope with the degeneracy of the genetic code in two manners: having more than one tRNA (with a specific anti-codon) for a particular amino acid; and 'wobble' base-pairing, i.e. permitting non-standard base-pairing at the 3rd anti-codon position.
Source: Rfam by way of RNAcentral
UCCCUGGUAGCUCAGAGGUUAAAGCGUCUGCCUGCAAUGUGGAAGACCUGGGUUCGAUCCCUGGGUCGGGAA